This 20-nucleotide microRNA is filed under the name Mus musculus (house mouse). RNAcentral describes it as "mmu-miR-6769b-5p". Lineage: Eukaryota; Metazoa; Chordata; Mammalia; Rodentia; Muridae. The record is from miRBase by way of RNAcentral.
CCUGGUGGGUGGGGAAGAGC